AGCCGGGUAGGGUAGCGGCCAAUCCUGCGAGGCUCUGGACCUCGCGACUGCGGUUCGAAUCCGCGCCCGGCUA
RNAcentral lists this transfer RNA (73 nucleotides) under Methanobacteriota archaeon. Its description in RNAcentral is "Euryarchaeota archaeon (hydrothermal vent metagenome) tRNA-Gln". It matches the Rfam family "tRNA". From Rfam's summary of the family: Transfer RNA (tRNA) molecules are approximately 80 nucleotides in length. Their secondary structure includes four short double-helical elements and three loops (D, anti-codon, and T loops). The record is from RNAcentral. RNAcentral also lists the same sequence under 3 other names. Lineage: Archaea; Methanobacteriati; Methanobacteriota.